This 284-nucleotide long non-coding RNA is filed under the name Marmota monax (woodchuck). Lineage: Eukaryota; Metazoa; Chordata; Mammalia; Rodentia; Sciuridae. The record is from RNAcentral.
GCCGAGCGCCGCCUACUGGGCGCGCACCCGGGACUCCGCUCCCCGCUCCCGGAUCCUGGGGCUGUGCGGAGCCCGGAGUCGCUGGAGGUGUGCGCGCUCCGGAGCGCACCACUGGCGCCCCUCCCCGCAGGGGUGGUCGACCCCGGAGACCGCUUCACGCCCGGGCUCUGUCGCCCCAUACCCACGGCGGGCGCGCACGGCCUGCGGCCCCGGGAAGGGUCUGCGGCGGCAGGUCGCGGCCUAGCGGUGCGCGCGCCCGGCCGCGGCCUGCCCGCCCCUUUCCG